Molecule: ribosomal RNA, 64 nt
Filed under: Takhtajaniantha mongolica
Lineage: Eukaryota; Viridiplantae; Streptophyta; Magnoliopsida; Asterales; Asteraceae
Description: Scorzonera mongolica partial 5.8S ribosomal RNA
Source: RNAcentral
UCGAGUUUUUGGACGCAGUUGCGCCCAAAGCCAUCCGGUUGAGGGCACGCCUGCCUGGGCGUCA